CCGAUAUCAAGCUUGGCUGUUAUGGAGGCUCAUUGCUUCCUCGAUGUCGGGUGUGAUAGAAAUGGAAAAAUUAGAAAUCAAACAAACAAAAAGGGGAGAGAACAAAGAAGAUGGAGACCAAGAGACUGAAUGACAGUUGUGGAAGUGGUGCUGGCAGAGAGACAUUAGAGAUCUGCAAGCUGGAAAAUAAUUCUGGAAUAAGUUGCUGCAUCCAAGAUUUUCCCAAGACCCAUUGACAAAGCUUGGGAAUUAUUAGUGUGAAGCACACAGUUACAGCUCCACCAGAGUCCUUAUGAUUCCAUGAAACAGUGGAUAUACUAUGUAACCAAAAAAAAAAGCAGAAGUAUGUUUUCGUGGAGGGCAAGAAUUUUUACCCUAAUGGGAAUGGGUCAGCGUUUCAUUACAUCUUGAGCCCACCACACAAGAAUCAUGUAUCAUACUUGAACAAUAAAGCCA
Mobula hypostoma (lesser devil ray) is the source of this 456-nucleotide long non-coding RNA. RefSeq lists it as uncharacterized. NCBI's taxonomy places the organism in Eukaryota, Metazoa, Chordata, Chondrichthyes, Myliobatiformes, Myliobatidae. The transcript is spliced from 4 exons. The record is from RefSeq and is a predicted model, not a curated record.